RNAcentral lists this ribosomal RNA (434 nucleotides) under uncultured Lachnospiraceae bacterium. RNAcentral describes it as "bacterial SSU rRNA". It matches the Rfam family "Bacterial small subunit ribosomal RNA", at positions 341 to 792 of the family's 1533-position model. Lineage: Bacteria; Bacillati; Bacillota; Clostridia; Lachnospirales; Lachnospiraceae. The record is from RNAcentral.
ACGGGAGGCAGCAGUGGGGAAUAUUGCACAAUGGGGGAAACCCUGAUGCAGCGACGCCGCGUGAGUGAAGAAGUUAUUCGUAAUGUAAAGCUCUAUCAGCAGGGAAGAAAAUGACGGUACCUGACUAAGAAGCCCCGGCUAACUACGUGCCAGCAGCCGCGGUAAUACGUAGGGGGCAAGCGUUAUCCGGAAUUAUUGGGUGUAAAGGGUGCGUAGACGGAGAUACAAGUUAGUUGUGAAAUCCCUCGGCUCAACUGAGGAACUGCAACUAAAACUAUAUCCCUUGAGUGUCGGAGGGGAAAGUGGAAUUCCUAGUGUAGCGGUGAAAUGCGUAGAUAUUAGGAGGAACACCGGUGGCGAAGGCGACUUUCUGGACGAUAACUGACGUUGAUGCACGAAAGUGUGGGGAGCAAACAGGAUUAGAUACCCUGGUA